GUUCUUGUAGUUGAAUGACAACGAUGGUUUUUCAGACUGUUGGUCUAUGGUUAAAGUCCUAGCUAGAAUA
RNAcentral lists this transfer RNA (70 nucleotides) under Ranacephala hogei (Hoge's toadhead turtle). Its description in RNAcentral is "Mesoclemmys hogei (Hoge's toadhead turtle) tRNA-Glu". Lineage: Eukaryota; Metazoa; Chordata; Testudines; Chelidae. The record is from RNAcentral.